AGAACGAACGCUGGCGGCGUGCCUAACACAUGCAAGUCGAGCGCGAAUGGAGCAAUCCUAGUAGAGCGGCGCACGGGUGCGUAACACGUGGGUAAUCUGCCCGAAAGACUGGAAUAACCUGCCGAAAGGCUGGCUAAUACCGGAUAAGCCUACGGGGUCCUCGGGCCUUGUAGGAAAGGUGGCCUCUGUAUACAAGCUAUCACUUUUGGAUGAGCCCGCGGCCCAUCAGUUAGUUGGCGGGGUAACGGCCCACAAGACUACGACGGGUAGCUGGUCUGAGAGGACGAUCAGCCACACUGGAACUGAGACACGGGUCCAGACUCCUACGGAGGCAAGCAGUGGGGAAUUUUGCGCAAUGGGCGAAAGCCUGACGCAGCAACGCGCGUGUGUGAUGAAGUUUUUCGGAUCGUAAAGCUACGUUCGACCGGACGAACACCCCCUGAGUAAUAUCUCGAGGCUGACGGUACCGGAGAAGAAGCGACCGCUAACUCUGUCGCAGCAGACCG
This 506-nucleotide ribosomal RNA is filed under the name uncultured soil bacterium. RNAcentral describes it as "bacterial SSU rRNA". It matches the Rfam family "Bacterial small subunit ribosomal RNA", at positions 26 to 517 of the family's 1533-position model. The record is from RNAcentral.